GUGAAUCAUCGAAUCUUUGAACGCAAAUUGCACUCUCCUCGGAGAGCAUGCCUGUUUGAGGGUCAGCCUAUAAAAAAUCGAGGCGUCGCUCUUUUUUUGAGGGUGAUCGCGUCGGAAUUGAGCCGUCUUUCAAAUGUUAAUUCAUGUCAAAGUGGCUUAAAAUUCAUUCAUCCGGUACGAUUAAAACGUAUUUAAGAUCAAUUUUGUUCAAGAACGCGCGAUGACGUACCAUCUCAUGUAGUACGUUUGACUUGGCGUCGUCAGGAUCAUUCGUAUACGAUACUCAAACUUUUGACCUCAA
Molecule: unclassified non-coding RNA, 301 nt
Filed under: Funneliformis mosseae
Lineage: Eukaryota; Fungi; Glomeromycota; Glomeromycetes; Glomerales; Glomeraceae
Description: partial contains 5.8S ribosomal RNA and internal transcribed spacer 2
Rfam family: 5.8S ribosomal RNA (bases 1-65)
Source: RNAcentral